Symphalangus syndactylus (siamang) is the source of this 1276-nucleotide long non-coding RNA. RefSeq lists it as uncharacterized. Lineage: Eukaryota; Metazoa; Chordata; Mammalia; Primates; Hylobatidae. The record is from RefSeq and is a predicted model, not a curated record.
AUUCUUUCUCUGGAGGGUCCUUGCUUGUGGAAGAGCCAGGCUAGAGUAGGAGAGGUUGAAUUCAGACAGAGGCAGAGAUGAGCACUGGAGAGGGAGCCUGGCUUUGUCCCAGGUGUAUCUGGAGGCCCAGGGACAAUGUGACCAUUGAAGUAAGCAGACAAUACGUUUAGGACCUCAAGGUGAACCAUAAUUGGGACACAGAAGUUUCUGGAAGAGACAGACAUGAUGUCUGGAGCUACGCAGCCCAUUUGAAACCAAGAGGAAACCAGCCUGAGAAUGAAAAGCCAACCUGACAAAGACAAGGAAAAGCCUGCAUGCCUGAUGGCAUUGUCCAGCAACGGAAGCAAGACCAGCAACCUGUGACUGCUGGGCUUCUCAGCGUAUGGGACAUACGAGACCCUCUGCUCCUAGCAGCAGAUACAGAUCAACCUCACACACAGGGUGGUCCUUUGUUUAACAUGGGUCUCCCUCUGUCAGUCAGGCUGGAAUGCAGGAUUGUUAACAUGGCUCACCACAGUCUUGACUUCCUGGGCUCAAACUAUCCUCCCACCUCCUGUGUAACUGGAACCACAGGCAUGUACCACCAUGUCCGGCUAAUUUAAAACAUUUUUUUUUUUUUUCCGUAGAGACAGGGUCUCACUUUGUUGCCCAGGCUGGUCUCGAACUCCUGGGCUCAAACAACCCUCCUGCCUCAGCCUCCAGAAGUGCUGGGAUUGCAGGCGUGAGCCACUGCACCCUCCAUCUUCCUGAUGGAAAUCUGUCAGUGAAGAACCCGCAAGUGACUGAUAAUGCUCUGUUUGCUCAGUCACAACCUGAGAUGCACAGGUUUUAUUUUUCUUUUGGUGGGGACAGGAGAGUGGGAGCCAAAAUUUGUCACCGUAAAGACUCCCACCCUCCUGUCCUCACCAGAAGAAAAAAAAACUUUGCAUCUGAGGUUGCGACUGAGCAAACACAACAUUAACUUCGGGAAAUUUCUCCGUCCGUGCAUUAACUGAAGGAAACUGCUGUGUUGCUCUCUGCACUGUUUAGAGAGAAUGUGAGUUAGGAACUGUUGGAAGAGACAUUAAUAGAUAUGAAAUUUUUGUCAUGACGAAACUAAUGCUGUGUUAAUAAGAAACAGACGAAGGGCCCGUCUGUUUCAUUCCUUUCUCUUCUUAAGAGGAUAUAGCAGAAUUAUGGUUAAGUAACCCUGAGGACAGUUACAUGAUAGCCUUUCUCAUGUCACAUGUGUGGAAAGAGAGUGUGAGUUCGAAGUUUGAGGUAUUGUAAAUAAAUA